CCCAGUCACUCAGUCACUCAGUCACUCACCCACUCACUCACCCACUCACCCAGUCACUCACCAGUCACUUCGCCUUCGUGAUCUUGGUGAUUGUCUACAGCUGGGUCAUGCUGAUGUACCUGUCACUCAACGUCACGCUAGCCAGGAAGAAAUACUCAGUCAAGCUGGGUCAUGCUGAUGUACCUGUCACUCAACGUCACGCUAGCCAGGAAGAAAUACUCAGUCAAGGUGACUCACUCAGUCACUCAGUCAGUCACUCACUCAGUCACUCAGUCAAUCACCCAGUCACUCACCCACUCACUCACCCAGUCACUCACCAGUCACUUCGCCUUCGUGAUCUUGGUGAUUGUCUACAGCUGGGUCAUGCUGAUGUACCUGUCACUCAACGUCACGCUAGCCAGGAAGAAAUACUCAGUCAAGCUGGGUCAUGCUGAUGUACCUGUCACUCAACGUCACGCUAGCCAGGAAGAAAUACUCAGUCAAGGUGACUCAGUCACUCACUCACUCAGUCACUCACCCAGUCACUCACUCACCCAGUCACUCA
Petromyzon marinus (sea lamprey) is the source of this 544-nucleotide non-coding RNA. NCBI's taxonomy places the organism in Eukaryota, Metazoa, Chordata, Hyperoartia, Petromyzontiformes, Petromyzontidae. The record is from RefSeq and is a predicted model, not a curated record.